GACGAACGCUGGCGGCGUGCUUAAUACAUGCAAGUCGAGCGGACAGGCCCUGCUUUUGUGGGGUGCUCGAGUGGGGAAGGGGUGAGUAACACGUGAGUAAAACGCCCUUGUCUUUGGGAUAACUUCAGGGAACUGGGGAUAAUAUCGGAUAGGAGCUCCUGCUGCAUGGUGGGGAUUGGAGAGUUUCGGCGGUUGGGGAUGGUCUCGCGGCUUCUCAGCUGGUUGGGGGGGUAGUGGCUUACCAAGGCUUUGAAGGGUAGCCGGCCUGAGAGGGUGACCGGCGACAAUGGGACUGCGAUACGGACCAGACUCCUACGGGAGGCAGCAGGGGGGAACAUUGCACAAUGGCCGGAAGCCUGAUGCAGCAACCCCGCGUGCGGGAUGACGUCCUUCUGGGUGUAAACCACUUUCGCCUUUGACGAAGAGUGAGUGACGGUAACGAGUAAAGAAGCAACGGCUAACUACGUG
RNAcentral lists this ribosomal RNA (468 nucleotides) under uncultured bacterium. Its description in RNAcentral is "partial 16S ribosomal RNA". It matches the Rfam family "Bacterial small subunit ribosomal RNA", at positions 28 to 507 of the family's 1533-position model. The record is from RNAcentral.